RNAcentral lists this transfer RNA (83 nucleotides) under Planoprotostelium fungivorum. It matches the Rfam family "tRNA". Rfam says of the family: Transfer RNA (tRNA) molecules are approximately 80 nucleotides in length. Their secondary structure includes four short double-helical elements and three loops (D, anti-codon, and T loops). Lineage: Eukaryota; Evosea; Variosea; Cavosteliida; Cavosteliaceae. The record is from Rfam by way of RNAcentral.
UCCUCGAUAGUAUAGUGGUGAGUAUACAAGCCUGUCAUCAACGCAGAACGCUUGGGACCCGGGUUCAAUUCCCGGUCGGGGAG